GAUGAACGCUAGCGGGAGGCCUAACACAUGCAAGCCGAGCGGUAUUGUUUCUUCGGAAAUGAGAGAGCGGCGUACGGGUGCGGAACACGUGUGCAACCUGCCUUUAUCUGGGGGAUAGCCUUUCGAAAGGAAGAUUAAUACUCCAUAAUAUAUUGAACGGCAUCGUUUAAUAUUGAAAGCUCCGGCGGAUAGAGAUGGGCACGCGCAAGAUUAGCUAGUUGGUGAGGUAACGGCUCACCAAGGCGAUGAUCUUUAGGGGGCCUGAGAGGGUGAUCCCCCACACUGGUACUGAGACACGGACCAGACUCCUACGGGAGGCAGCAGUGAGGAAUAUUGGUCAAUGGGUGCAAGCCUGAACCAGCCAUCCCGCGUGAAGGACGACUGCCCUAUGGGUUGUAAACUUCUUUUGUAUAGGGAUAAACCUACCCUCGUGAGGGUAGCUGAAGGUACUAUACGAAUAAGCACCGGCUAACUCCGUGCCAGCAGCCGCGGUAAUACGGAGGGUGCAAGCGUUAUCCGGAUUUAUUGGGUUUAAAGGGUCCGUAGGCGGACUUAUAAGUCAGUGGUGAAAGCCAGUCGCUUAACGAUAGAACUGCCAUUGAUACUGUAAGUCUUGAGUAUAUUUGAGGUAGCUGGAAUAAGUAGUGUAGCGGUGAAAUGCAUAGAUAUUACUUAGAACACCAAUUGCGAAGGCAGGUUACCAAGAUAUAACUGACGCUGAGGGACGAAAGCGUGGGGAGCGAACAGGAUUAGAUACCCUGGUAGUCCACGCCGUAAACGAUGCUAACUCGUUUUUGGGCUUUAGGGUUCAGAGACCAAGCGAAAGUGAUAAGUUAGCCACCUGGGGAGUACGCUCGCAAGAGUGAAACUCAAAGGAACUGACGGGGGCCCGCACAAGCGGUGGAUUAUGUGGUUUAAUUCGAUGAUACGCGAGGAACCUUACCAAGACUUAAAUGGGAAUUGACAGCUUUAGAAAUAGAGCUUUCUUCGGACAAUUUUCAAGGUGCUGCAUGGUUGUCGUCAGCUCGUGCCGUGAGGUGUUAGGUUAAGUCCUGCAACGAGCGCAACCCCUGUCACUAGUUGCCAUCAUUCAGUUGGGGACUCUAGUGAGACUGCCUACGCAAGUAGAGAGGAAGGUGGGGAUGACGUCAAAUCAUCACGGCCCUUACGUCUUGGGCCACACACGUAAUACAAUGGCCGGUACAGAGGGCAGCUACACAGCGAUGUGAUGCAAAUCUCGAAAGCCGGUCUCAGUUCGGAUUGGAGUCUGCAACUCGACUCUAUGAAGCUGGAAUCGCUAGUAAUCGCGCAUCAGCCAUGGCGCGGUGAAUACGUUCCCGGGCCU
Molecule: ribosomal RNA, 1345 nt
Filed under: uncultured bacterium
Lineage: Bacteria
Description: bacterial SSU rRNA
Rfam family: Bacterial small subunit ribosomal RNA
Source: RNAcentral